GUUGUAGGCUCAAAUAAGAGGACAUGGGGAGCCAGUAGGUGGUUGGGAGAGUGGCUGGGGGGCAGGUUAGCCACAAAAGAUGCAGGAGAUGAGGAGGGGUGAUGGUGCUGCAGGAUGGCACACUGGGAGAACACAGUGUAUUCUGCAAAAGCAGAGGUGACAAGAAUAAGGGUAAGUGCACAGAGCUGGCCAUGAUUGCAGAUGCAAAGCAGGAAAGAGCAGUGUGGUCUUGAGGUGUUUGUGCAUAAUUAGAACAAGGAAGAAUUGUUUUAAUUAGUAUGGGUGAUAAGUUGUGAGUAGAAAGUGGCAGUGAUAGGUGUAUGGAUAAUAGGAGAUGUGACACACAUAACCUUAACCUCAUCCAUCUUGUCUCUAUUCUGCAACAUGUUUCUAUAGGCAGUGCUUUCAGGCUGAAGUCAGGGAACGAAGGCUGCGUGCUGUGCUGAACUGUGAUGACUCCAUCCUUGGUCCCAGUGAGGGACAGCAGGGAAUAAUGUUACCCAAGCGUUGGAUAGCACAUUUAACAAUGUGGAGGGCUUCGUUGCACCGGCUGUGUGGAAGGGAGCUCAGAAUCCAGGAACCACCAGUGCAGUUCAGUGGUUUUGUAGCUGGAGAUGAAACUGGAGUGGGAGUGAGGACACUGCAGAAGGAAACAUUCUGUAGAACUGCCAAAAUGUUCGACCUCAGCUUAGAAGGGCUGCAGGGAUGGUGGCAGUCAGCUGAGGACCUGUGAUGCUCAUCGUUGGACUGAAGUUCUCAGAAUUUCCUCUGUAACGAUGGCUUCAAUUCAUCUGUUCCUAUGAGGCAGUUCUGGUUGGGCUUGGCAUGCUCUGUCCCAGCUGUCAGGUCUGGGAUGUAUCCC
This 862-nucleotide long non-coding RNA is filed under the name Gallus gallus (chicken). Its description in RNAcentral is "lncRNA (ENSGALG00010028653.1)". Lineage: Eukaryota; Metazoa; Chordata; Aves; Galliformes; Phasianidae. The record is from RNAcentral.